RNAcentral lists this long non-coding RNA (279 nucleotides) under Sorghum bicolor (sorghum). Its description in RNAcentral is "long non-coding RNA (SBIC_LNC012712)". Lineage: Eukaryota; Viridiplantae; Streptophyta; Magnoliopsida; Poales; Poaceae. The record is from RNAcentral.
UUUCACGAACGAAGCUGGCUCGUGACUUGGACACUCAACUUCUUCUUCUGGCUCCUCGGGUCCGACUUGCUGGACCUCCACCUCUUGGCUGCCCUCCUGGCCUUCGGGAUUCACUUGCAGAUCGAAGGAGGCGGCCACGUCCGAUGCACCUAUUGCAUGCUCGAGGAAUAAGAGGGUGUGCAUACAAAAGAAUGGAUGCUUGAUAACAUAAUGAUCUCACUGGACACUCAUUUACAGAGUACACAGUUAUAACAAGUCCACACAAGGUAGUAAGUUAAC